GCGCGCCGUAGAUUCCAGUUGGAUCAUUGAGUGGUUCCCUACUGUUGUAAAUAUAUACUGUAACAUACUACAGGGUACACCAAGAAAUUUGA
This 92-nucleotide ribosomal RNA is filed under the name Ochromonas sp. CCMP1393. RNAcentral's name for it is "partial Microsporidia small subunit ribosomal RNA". The record is from RNAcentral. Lineage: Eukaryota; Chrysophyceae; Chromulinales; Chromulinaceae.